CCGGAUCACCCUCUGGAUCCAGGAAUCUUUUGAAGGAUUCUUUAUCAUUGUGAGAUAGGGCAAAUUUUGGAAUUUUUGCAUUUAACUCUAUAAAAAUGUCCAGAGUCUUUAGUAAAAAAAUACACAAAAGGAUCUCAAUGAGUUUUAUGAGGUGUCAAAGGUUGAUCCUGAUCCAGACAAAAUUCUGGAUACUGUGAUCCAGAACACACAAAAAUAAGGGUGUCGUUGGAAUUUUCAA
Xyrichtys novacula (pearly razorfish) is the source of this 238-nucleotide non-coding RNA. The record is from the annotation of a GenBank genome assembly. Lineage: Eukaryota; Metazoa; Chordata; Actinopteri; Labriformes; Labridae.